This 496-nucleotide ribosomal RNA is filed under the name uncultured bacterium. RNAcentral describes it as "partial 16S ribosomal RNA". It matches the Rfam family "Bacterial small subunit ribosomal RNA", at positions 29 to 507 of the family's 1533-position model. The record is from RNAcentral.
AUGAACGCUGGCGGCGUGCCUAAUACAUGCAGGUCGAGCGAACAGAUGAGGAGCUUGCUCCUCUGACGUUAGCGGCGGACGGGUGAGUAACACGUGGAUAACCUACCUAUAAGACUGGGAUAACUUCGGGAAACCGGAGCUAAUACCGGAUAAUAUAUUGAACCGCAUGGUUCAAUAGUGAAAGACGGUUUUGCUGUCACUUAUAGAUGGAUCCGCGCCGCAUUAGCUAGUUGGUAAGGUAACGGCUUACCAAGGCAACGAUGCGUAGCCGACCUGAGAGGGUGAUCGGCCACACUGGAACUGAGACACGGUCCAGACUCCUACGGGAGGCAGCAGUAGGGAAUCUUCCGCAAUGGGCGAAAGCCUGACGGAGCAACGCCGCGUGAGUGAUGAAGGUCUUCGGAUCGUAAAACUCUGUUAUUAGGGAAGAACAAAUGUGUAAGUAACUAUGCACGUCUUGACGGUACCUAAUCAGAAAGCCACGGCUAACUACGUG